ACGGGACCCGCACAAGCGGUGGAUGAUGUGGAUUAAUUCGAUGCAACGCGAAAACCUUACUACCCUUGACAUGUCUGGAACCUUGGUGAGAGCCGAGGGUGCCUUCGGGAGCCAGAACACAGGUGCUGCAUGGCUGUCGUCAGCUCGUGUCGUGAGAUGUUGGGUUAAGUCCCGCAACGAGCGCAACCCUUGUCACUAGUUGCCAUCAUUUGGUUGGGCACUCUAGUGAGACUGCCGGUGACAAACCGGAGGAAGGUGGGGAUGACGUCAAGUCCUCAUGGCCCUUAUGGGUAGGGCUUCACACGUCAUACAAUGGUCGGUACAGAGGGUUGCCAAGCCGCGAGGUGGAGCCAAUCCCUUAAAGCCGAUCGUAGUCCGGAUCGUAGUCUGCAACUCGACUGCGUGAAGUCGGAAUCGCUAGUAAUCGUGGAUCAGCAUGUCACGGUGAAUACGUUCCCGGGUCUU
This 465-nucleotide ribosomal RNA is filed under the name uncultured Thauera sp. RNAcentral describes it as "bacterial SSU rRNA". It matches the Rfam family "Bacterial small subunit ribosomal RNA", at positions 916 to 1381 of the family's 1533-position model. The record is from RNAcentral. Lineage: Bacteria; Pseudomonadati; Pseudomonadota; Betaproteobacteria; Rhodocyclales; Zoogloeaceae.